CAUCUCACACACAACUAUGACCUUACCUCUUUUCAUCAUCAAGAAUCAGCUACCAUUAUCCCCAUUUUAACAGAUGAGGGAACUGAGGCUUACACAGUUUAAGUUAUUUACUUGCCCAAGGACACAAAUUAGGAACUGGUGCAACUCAUACCUGACCCUACACCUAACACCAAAGCCCAUACUGCCUUACCAUGCAGAGCUUCUAGAGUGCUUAAACUCCUGGCAAUUUCAUUUCAGCCAAAUGAUCUGCAAUCUGUAAAAUCUGAUACUUUACAUAUGCUUACUACAGUUUUUUUUUGAAAUCAGCAUGACUUGCUUGUGGGGCUCUAAGGUUUGUUCUUGCUUUUAGAACACUGGAAGAUACUUGAGUAUCAGAACUGGAUGGCAGUACUUAUAUAC
RNAcentral lists this long non-coding RNA (399 nucleotides) under Capra hircus (goat). Its description in RNAcentral is "lncRNA (ENSCHIG00010026675.1)". The record is from RNAcentral. Lineage: Eukaryota; Metazoa; Chordata; Mammalia; Artiodactyla; Bovidae.